AGUGAACGCUGGCGGUAGGCCUAACACAUGCAAGUCGAACGGCAGCACAGUAAGAGCUUGCUCUUACGGGUGGCGAGUGGCGGACGGGUGAGGAAUACAUCGGAAUCUACUUUUUCGUGGGGGAUAACGUAGGGAAACUUACGCUAAUACCGCAUACGACCUACGGGUGAAAGCAGGGGAUCUUCGGACCUUGCGCGAUUGAAUGAGCCGAUGUCGGAUUAGCUAGUUGGCGGGGUAAAGGCCCACCAAGGCGACGAUCCGUAGCUGGUCUGAGAGGAUGAUGAGACGCGCGUGAACUACGACACGAUCCAGACUCUUACGAAAGACAGCAGUGUAGAAUAUUAGGAAAUGAGCGCAAGCAUGAUCCGGCCGUACCGCGUGCGUGAUGAAGGCCUUCGGGUUGUAAAGCGCUUUUGUUGGGAAGGAAAUACAGCAGGAUAAUACCCAGCUGUUCUGACGUAACCCAAAGAGUAAGGCCAGGCUAACUUCGUG
This 492-nucleotide ribosomal RNA is filed under the name uncultured bacterium. RNAcentral's name for it is "partial 16S ribosomal RNA". It matches the Rfam family "Bacterial small subunit ribosomal RNA", at positions 29 to 507 of the family's 1533-position model. The record is from RNAcentral.